CCCCUAGAUGUUCUGGGCCGCACGCGCGCUACACUGAACAGUUCAACAAGUCUUAACCUUGGCCGAUAGGUCUGGGUAAUCUUUGAACGCUGUUCGUGAUUGGGAUAGACCUUUGCAAGUAUGGGUCUUCAACGAGGAAUUCCUAGUAAACGCAAGUCAUCAGCUUGCAUUGAUUACGUCCCUGCCCUUUGUACACACCGCCCGUCGCACCUACCGAUUGAAUGGUCCGGUGAAAUCUCGGGACGGCGGCUUGGUCGCUUGCGUCCGACUGCUGAAACUUGAUUAAACCAUAUCAUUUAGAGGAAGGUGAAGUCGUANCA
Molecule: ribosomal RNA, 320 nt
Filed under: uncultured eukaryote
Lineage: Eukaryota
Description: partial 18S ribosomal RNA
Rfam family: Eukaryotic small subunit ribosomal RNA
Source: RNAcentral